UUAAGUUAGAAAGGGCGCACGGUGGAUGCCUUGGCACUAGGAGCCGAAGAAGGACGGGACUAACACCGAUAUGCUUUGGGGAGCUGUACGUAAGCGUUGAUCCAGAGAUUUCCGAAUGGGGGAACCCACUAUCUUUAGUCGGAUAGUAUCCUUACGUGAAUACAUAGCGUGAGGAAGGCAGACCCAGGGAACUGAAACAUCUAAGUACCUGGAGGAAGAGAAAGAAAAAUCGAUUUCCUGAGUAGCGGCGAGCGAAACGGAAAGAGCCCAAACCAAGAAGCUUGCUUCUUGGGGUUGUAGGACACUCUAUACGGAGUUACAAAAGAAAGUUAUAAAUGAAGCGGUCUGGAAAGGCCCGCCAAAGACGGUAACAGCCCGGUAGUUGAAAUGGCUUUCCCUCCAGAGUGGAUCCUGAGUACGGCGGAACACGUGAAAUUCCGUCGGAAUCCGGGAGGACCAUCUCCCAAGGCUAAAUACUCCCUAGUGACCGAUAGUGAACCAGUACCGUGAGGGAAAGGUGAAAAGCACCCCGGAAGGGGAGUGAAACAGUUCCUGAAACCGUGUGCCUACAAGUAGUUAGAGCCCGUUAAUGGGUGAUAGCGUGCCUUUUGUAGAAUGAACCGGCGAGUUACGAUUUGUUGCAAGGUUAAGCGGAAAAAGCGGAGCCGUAGCGAAAGCGAGUCUGAAUAGGGCGCAUAAGUAACAGGUCGUAGACCCGAAACCAGGUGAUCUACCCAUGUCCAGGAUGAAGGUAAGGUAAUACUUACUGGAGGUCCGAACCCACGCACGUUGAAAAGUGCGGGGAUGAGGUGUGGGUAGCGGAGAAAUUCCAAUCGAACUUGGAGAUAGCUGGUUCUCUCCGAAAUAGCUUUAGGGCUAGCCUCGAGGUAAAGAGUCAUGGAGGUAGAGCACUGUUUGGACUAGGGGCCCUUCUCGGGUUACCGAAUUCAGAUAAACUCCGAAUGCCAUGUACUUAUACUCGGGAGUCAGACUGCGAGUGAUAAGAUCCGUAGUCGAAAGGGAAACAGCCCAGACCACCAGUUAAGGUCCCCAAAUAUAUGUUAAGUGGAAAAGGAUGUGGGGUUGCUUAGACAACCAGGAUGUUGGCUUAGAAGCAGCCACCAUUGAAAGAGUGCGUAAUAGCUCACUGGUCGAGUGACCCCGCGCCGAAAAUGUACCGGGGCUAAACAUAUUACCGAAACUGUGGAUGAACCUCUUUAGAGGUUCGUGGUAGGAGAGCGUUCUAAGGGCGGUGAAGUCAGACCGGAAGGACUGGUGGAGCGCUUAGAAGUGAGAAUGCCGGUAUGAGUAGCGAAAGAAGGGUGAGAAUCCCUUCCACCGAAUAUCUAAGGUUUCCUGAGGAAGGCUCGUCCGCUCAGGGUUAGUCGGGACCUAAGCCGAGGCCGAUAGGCGUAGGCGAUGGACAACAGGUAGAGAUUCCUGUACCAGUGCUAAUUGUUUAACCGAUGGGGUGACACAGAAGGAUAGGGAAUCGCACGAAUGGAAAUGUGCGUCCAAGCAGUGAGUGUGAGAAGUAGGCAAAUCCGCUUCUCGCGAAGCAUGAGCUGUGAUGGGGAAGGAAAUUAAGUACGGAAGUUCCUGAUUUCACGCUGUCAAGAAAAGCCUCUAGGAAGAGUAGUACUGCCCGUACCGCAAACCGACACAGGUAGAUGAGGAGAGAAUCCUAAGGUGAGCGAGAGAACUCUCGUUAAGGAACUCGGCAAAAUGACCCCGUAACUUCGGGAGAAGGGGUGCUCUAUUAGGGUGCAAGCCCGAGAGAGCCGCAGUGAAUAGGCCCAGGCGACUGUUUAGCAAAAACACAGGUCUCUGCAAAACCGUAAGGUGACGUAUAGGGGCUGACGCCUGCCCGGUGCUGGAAGGUUAAGAGGAGUGCUUAGCUUCGGCGAAGGUACGAAUUGAAGCCCCAGUAAACGGCGGCCGUAACUAUAACGGUCCUAAGGUAGCGAAAUUCCUUGUCGGGUAAGUUCCGACCCGCACGAAAGGCGCAACGAUCUGGGCACUGUCUCAACGAGAGACUCGGUGAAAUUAUAGUACCUGUGAAGAUGCAGGUUACCCGCGACAGGACGGAAAG
Molecule: ribosomal RNA, 2092 nt
Filed under: Listeria monocytogenes
Lineage: Bacteria; Bacillati; Bacillota; Bacilli; Caryophanales; Listeriaceae
Description: partial 23S ribosomal RNA
Rfam family: Bacterial large subunit ribosomal RNA
Source: RNAcentral